GAUGAACGCUGGCGGCGUGCUUAACACAUGCAAGUCGAACGGUGAAGGCGGAGCUUGCUCUGCUGGAUCAGUGGCGAACGGGUGAGUAACACGUGAGCAAUCUGCCCCUGACUCUGGGAUAAGCGCUGGAAACGGCGUCUAAUACUGGAUACGAGCUGCGAAGGCAUCUUCAGCAGCUGGAAAGAAUUUCGGUCAGGGAUGAGCUCGCGGCCUAUCAGCUUGUUGGUGAGGUAAUGGCUCACCAAGGCGUCGACGGGUAGCCGGCCUGAGAGGGUGACCGGCCACACUGGGGCUGAGACACGGCCCAGACUCCUACGGGAGGCAGCAGUGGGGAAUAUUGCACAAUGGGCGAAAGCCUGAUGCAGCAACGCCGCGUGAGGGACGACGGCCUUCGGGUUGUAAACCUCUUUUAGCAGGGAAGAAGCGAAAGUGACGGUACCUGCAGAAAAAGCGCCGGCUAACUACGU
This 467-nucleotide ribosomal RNA is filed under the name uncultured bacterium. RNAcentral describes it as "partial 16S ribosomal RNA". It matches the Rfam family "Bacterial small subunit ribosomal RNA", at positions 28 to 506 of the family's 1533-position model. The record is from RNAcentral.